RNAcentral lists this ribosomal RNA (911 nucleotides) under archaeon. RNAcentral describes it as "bacterial SSU rRNA". It matches the Rfam family "Archaeal small subunit ribosomal RNA", at positions 1 to 912 of the family's 1478-position model. The record is from RNAcentral.
GAGUUCCCGUUGAUCCUGCGGGAGAUUGCUGCUAUUAGGUUUCCACUUAGCCAUGCAAGUCAAGGGGGCUCUUCGGAGUCACCGGCGAAAUGCUCAGUAACACGUCAGUAAUCUGCCCUAUGGUAAGGAAUAACCUCGGGAAACUGAGACUAAUACCUUAUAGAAGAUUAAUGCUGGAAUGCUUUUUCUUCCAAAGUUUCGACGCCAUAGGAUGAGCUGGUGGCUGAUUAGCUUGUUGGUGAGGUAAAGGCUCACCAAGGCGAAGAUCAGUACGGGCCUUGAGAGAGGUAGCCCGGAGAAGGAGACUGAGAUAAGGCUCCUAGCCCUAAGGGGUGCAGCAGGCAGGAAACCUUUACAAUGCACGAAAGUGUGAUAAGGGGAACCUAAGUGCUUGCUUUCGAGUGAGCUUUUGUCAAGUGUAAAAAUCUUGACGAAUAAGUGGUGGGUAAGACCGGUGCCAGCAGCCGCGGUAACCCCGGCGCCACGAGUGGCAAUCGCGUUUAUUGGGCCUAAAGCGUCCGUAGCUGAUUUAUUCAGUCCUUUGUUAAAUCGUUCAGCUUAACUGAGCGGCUGCAAGGGAUACUAGUAAGUUUGGGAUCGGGAGGAGGCAGAAGUACUCUUAGGGUAGCGGUAAAAUGUGAUAAUCCUUAGAGGACUACCGGUGGCGAAGGCGUCUGCCUAGAACGAAUCCGACAGUGAGGGACGAAAGCCAGGGGAGCAAAAGGGAUUAGAUACCCCCGUAGUCCUGGCCGUAAACUCUGCGAACUAUGUGUUGCAUAUUCUUCAAGGAUAUGCAGUGCCGUAGCGAAGGUGUUAAGUUCGCCGCCUGGGAAGUACGGUCGCAAGACUGAAACUUAAAGGAAUUGGCGGGGGCGCGCUACAAGGAGUGGAACGUGCGGUUUAAUCAGAUU